CUACCUGAUGACCGAUAGUGAAGCAGUACCGUGAGGGAAAGGUGAAAAGAACCCCGGGAGGGGAGUGAAAUAGAACCUGAAACCGUGUGCCUACAACCGCUCAGAGCCCCUUAUGAGGGUGAUGAGGUGCUUUUUGUAGAACGAGCCAACGAGUUACGGUAUGUAGCAAGGUUAAGUACUUAAGGUACGGAGCCGAAGGGAAACCGAGUCUGAAUAGGGCGACUAGUUGCAUGCCGUAGACCCGAAACCGGGUGACCUAUCCAUGGCCAGGUUGAAGCGAGGGUAAAACCUCGUGGAGGACCGAACCACGUUGCUGUUGAAAAAGCAUGGGAUGAGCUGUGGAUAGCGGAGAAAUUCCAAUCGAACCCGGAGAUAGCUGGUUCUCUCCGAAAUAGCUUUAGGGCUAGCGUCGAGUAUGAGUAGUGGAGGUAGAGCACUGAAUGGGCUAGGGGGCAUAGCGCUUACCGAACCUUAUCAAACUCCGAAUGCCACAUACUUUGAGCUCGGCAGUCAGACUACGAAUGAUAAGAUCCGUGGUCAAAAGGGAAACAGCCCAGAUCGUCAGCUAAGGUCCCAAAGUGUAAGUUAAGUGGGAAAGGAUGUGAGAUUUCUAAGACAACUAGGAUGUUGGCUUAGAAGCAGCCAUUCAUUAAAAGAGUGCGUAAUAGCUCACUAGUCGAGAGAUCUUGCGCCGAAAAUGUAACGGGGCUAAACUUACCACCGAAGCUACGGGCUUGAACAUAGUUCAAGCGGUAGGAGAGCGUCGUAACCGGGCUGAAGUCGUACCGUAAGGAGCGGUGGACUGGUUACGAGUGAGAAUGUUGGCAUCAGUAGCGAGAUGUGGGUGAGAAUCCCACAGGCCGAAAACCUAAGGUUUCCUCAGGAAGGUUCGUCCGCUGAGGGUUAGUCGGGACCUAAGCCGAGGCCGAAAGGCGUAGGUGAUGGACAACUGGUUGAUAUUCCAGUACCACUACCAUCGUUAUUAUCGAUGGCGUGACGCAGGAGGAUAGUGUGUGCUAGCUAUUGGAUGCUAGUCUAAGCGUUUAGGCAGUGAGAGUAGGCAAAUCCGCUCUCAUAAUGCUGAGGCGUGAUGGGGAAGGUUC
RNAcentral lists this ribosomal RNA (1103 nucleotides) under Klebsiella sp. RNAcentral's name for it is "partial 23S ribosomal RNA". It matches the Rfam family "Bacterial large subunit ribosomal RNA", at positions 473 to 1578 of the family's 2925-position model. The record is from RNAcentral. Lineage: Bacteria; Pseudomonadati; Pseudomonadota; Gammaproteobacteria; Enterobacterales; Enterobacteriaceae.